RNAcentral lists this ribosomal RNA (848 nucleotides) under uncultured Gammaproteobacteria bacterium. RNAcentral describes it as "bacterial SSU rRNA". It matches the Rfam family "Bacterial small subunit ribosomal RNA", at positions 28 to 895 of the family's 1533-position model. Lineage: Bacteria; Pseudomonadati; Pseudomonadota; Gammaproteobacteria. The record is from RNAcentral.
AUUGAACGCUGGCGGCAGGCCUAACACAUGCAAGUCGAGCGGAUGAAGAGAGCUUGCUCUCUGAUUCAGCGGCGGACGGGUGAGUAAUGCCUAGGAAUCUGCCUGGUAGUGGGGGACAACGUCUCGAAAGGGACGCUAAUACCGCAUACGUCCUACGGGAGAAAGCAGGGGACCUUCGGGCCUUGCGCUAUCAGAUGAGCCUAGGUCGGAUUAGCUAGUUGGUGAGGUAAUGGCUCACCAAGGCGACGAUCCGUAACUGGUCUGAGAGGAUGAUCAGUCACACUGGGACUGAGACACGGCCCAGACUCCUACGGGAGGCAGCAGUGGGGAGUAUUGGACAAUGGGCGAAAGCCUGAUCCAGCAAUGCCGCGUGAGUGAUGAAGGCCUUAGCGUUGUAAAGCUCUUUUACCCGGGAUGAUAAUGACGGUACCGAGAGAAGAAGCCCCGGCUAACUCCGUGCCAGCAGCCGCGGUAAUACGGGGGGGGCAAGCGUUGUUCGGAAUUACUGGGCGUAAAGCGGGUGUAGGUGGCUUUGUAAGUCAGAUGUGAAAGCCCAGGGCUCAACCCUGGAAGUGCAUUUGAUACUGCGAAGCUUGAGUGUAGGAGAGGUUACUAGAAUUCUUGGUGUAGUGGUGAAAUACGUAGAUAUCAAGAGGAAUACCGGUGGCGAAGGCGGGUAACUGGCCUAACACUGACACUCAGACCCGAAAGCGUGGGGAUCAAACAGGAUUAGAUACCCUGGUAGUCCACGCCGUAAACGAUGGAUACUUGUUGUUGGAGGUAUUGACCCCUUCAGUGACGAAGCUAACGCGUUAAGUAUCCCGCCUGGGGAGUACGGUCGCAAGAUU